AGCAGCCGCGGUAAUUCCAGCUCCAAUAGCGUAUAUUAAAGUUGUUGCAGUUAAAAAGCUCGUAGUUGAAUUUCGGGGUUAGUAGGUUGGUCAUGCCUCUGGUAUGUACUGGUCUCACUGAUUCCUCCUUCCUGAUGAGCCGUAAUGCCAUUAAUUUGGUGUUGCGGGGAAUUUGGACUGUUACUUUGAAAAAAUUAGAGUGUUUAAAGCAGGCUCACGCUUGAAUACAUUAGCAUGGAAUAAUGAAAUAGGACGUUUGAUUCUAUUUUGUUGGUUUCUAGGAUCGACGUAAUGAUUAAUAGGGAUAGUUGGGGGCAUUAGUAUUCAAUUGUCAGAGGUGAAAUUCUUGGAUUUAUUGAAGACUAACUACUGCGAAAGCAUUUGCCAAGGAUGUUUUCAUUAAUCAAGAACGAAAGUUAGGGGAUCGAAGACGAUCAGAUACCGUCGUAGUCUUAACCAUAAACUAUGCCGACUAGGGAUCGGAUGAUGUUAAUUUUUUAAUGACUCAUUCGGCGCCUUACG
RNAcentral lists this ribosomal RNA (522 nucleotides) under uncultured Glomus. RNAcentral describes it as "SSU rRNA". It matches the Rfam family "Eukaryotic small subunit ribosomal RNA", at positions 569 to 1092 of the family's 1831-position model. The record is from RNAcentral. Lineage: Eukaryota; Fungi; Glomeromycota; Glomeromycetes; Glomerales; Glomeraceae.